Molecule: long non-coding RNA, 531 nt
Filed under: Androctonus crassicauda
Lineage: Eukaryota; Metazoa; Arthropoda; Arachnida; Scorpiones; Buthidae
Source: RNAcentral
AAAUGGAUUAUAAGAACACAAGUUAAAUAAAAGAAUCUACAGGUAUUAAGCUUAAAUGACAUUGUUACAAUAAUAUAAGUCUUCCUACAUACAUUGAGAAUAUAAUAUGUAAAAGCCUCAAAUAUGCAUCAGUUUAUAACAAGUCUAUAAAAGAUAUUGCACCACAGAUAGAAAGAAUCAUCUCCUCUUAAUGAUAGAUUUAAAGAGCUUUUACACUGGAUGUAUAUACAAAAUAAAAGAAAAAGGCAUAAUCCUCAGUACUUAAAUGGUAUCAAGAAGCACGAUGCUGCUAAAAUAGCAGUUAAGGAAUGGUUUAUUAACAAAAAUAUCGCAUGCAUUAGAGAAGAAAAGUCAAGGAAAUUAGCAGUUUUAACAACAAUCAUAUACAGUGUUUCAGAGCAGGAAUUUCUUUUUCCCAUUCCUGAAUCCUGAGAAAAUUUGGUCGGGAAAUUGGGAAAAUCAGCUCUUAAAACCAGUAAUACUCACAAUGGGAAAUAAAUAUACUAUUCACAAUGUAUCUUUUAGACAUUU